This 332-nucleotide ribosomal RNA is filed under the name uncultured bacterium. RNAcentral's name for it is "bacterial SSU rRNA". It matches the Rfam family "Bacterial small subunit ribosomal RNA", at positions 568 to 898 of the family's 1533-position model. The record is from RNAcentral.
CGCGUAGGCGGGAUGGCAAGUCGGUCGUGAAAUCCUUCGGCUCAACCGAAGAACGUCGGCCGAUACUGCCGUUCUUGAGGGAUGCAGAGGAGACUGGAAUUCCCGGUGUAGCGGUGAAAUGUGUAGAGAUCGGGAGGAACACCGGUGGCGAAGGCGGGUCUCUGGGCAUCUCCUGACGCUGAGGCGCGAAAGCGUGGGGAGCAAACGGGAUUAGAUACCCCGGUAGUCCACGCCAUAAACGAUGACGACCAGGUGUGGGGUGGUUCAGUCCACUCCGUGCCGCAGCUAACGCAUUAAGUCGUCCGCCUGGGGAGUACGGCCGCAAGGUUGAA